Molecule: non-coding RNA, 46 nt
Organism: Schistosoma rodhaini
Lineage: Eukaryota; Metazoa; Platyhelminthes; Trematoda; Strigeidida; Schistosomatidae
Source: Rfam
CGACGGCUAAGGAGUCCAAUAAUAGGACGAAACGGCCGUCCCGUAC